UAAAAUGAAUAUUUGGGCUUCUGAAAGUUAGGGGAGGUGGGGGUUAAUUUAGGCGCAGUUAUAGUUAAUGGGGUGUUUAGGGUUAAUUCAGGGGCAGUUGUAGUUGAUGGGGUCUUCAGGGUUAAUUCAGGGGCAGUUGUGGUUGAUGGGGUGUUUAGGGUUAAUUUAGGGGCAGUUAUGGUUGAUGGGGCCUUCAGGGUUAAUUUAGGGGCAGUUGUGGUUGAUGGGUUCUUCAGGGUUAAUUUAGGGGCAGUUGUGGUUGAUGGGUUCUUCAGGGUUAAUUUAGGGGCAGUUAUGGUUAAUGGGGUUUUUAGGGUUAAUUUAGGGGCAGUUGUGGUUGAUGGGGUCUUCAGGGUUAAUUUAGGGGCAGUCGUGGUUGAUGGGGUCUUCAGGGUUAAUUCAGGGGCAGUUGUGGUUAAUGGGGUUUUUAGGGUUAAUUUAGGGGCAGUUGUGGUUGAUGGGGUCUUGAGGGUUAAUUUAGGGGCAGUUGUGGUUAAUGGGGUCUUCUCUUCAGGGCUAAUUUAAUGCUGAAGACUGAGGGUUAAAUUAAUUAAUUUAAUAAGGUUAACUUAAGGUGCAGUUAGAGGUAAAGGGGGCAAACUGAGGGGAAUCUAAAUCCUGGGGGCAGUGAAGAUUAACCCUGUAUUUAUUCAUAAAAGGAUUGUGUCUGUGAACGAGUCUGCAAAUCUAUGAGUGCACUAUGGCAUAUCAGGGGGGUAUACGGCAUACCUGGGGAGGACGUAGUGACAUAUCUGGGGGUAUAAGGCAUAUAGGGUAUAUAGGGGAUGGUAGAGUGGCAUGUCUGGGAGGCAGUGUGGCAUAUCUGGGGGCAUGUGGCAUAUCUGGGAGGCAGUGUGGCAAGCCUGGGCUCAAAUGUGCAUAACUGGGGGGCAGGUUGGGAAAUAAAAACAAGAAAUGCAUUUUUAUCAAAGUUUUUUUAUUCUGCCGUUUGUUUUUAACAUCCUACGUUGCUUUAUUAAAUUUUUUUAAAUAAAUGAA
This is a long non-coding RNA of Spea bombifrons (plains spadefoot toad), 999 nucleotides long. RefSeq lists it as uncharacterized. The transcript has 2 exons. NCBI's taxonomy places the organism in Eukaryota, Metazoa, Chordata, Amphibia, Anura, Pelobatidae. The record is from RefSeq and is a predicted model, not a curated record.